CUGAGCUGGAAGUAGGUUUUGACUCUCUGGAUAAAUUUCCAUCAAGCUGAAGGAGGGGUUUUGCUCUAAGAGAUUUUCUCUGGGUAGUCAAGAUUUCGUGGAGAAAUCUUUGACUUCUAGGUAGAGAAUUUAUUUGGAGGAAACCAUUUUCCCUGAGUCCAAAGAUUAUCUGCCAGUGGUCCAUCUGCCAGAAUUCCUCUUGGGCUAAGUGGCAUCAGACACCAUUUACAAUGGCCUUGCUGGCAGAUCUCCAGAAGAAAAACACCAUCCUUUUUUUUGUUUUUUUUUACAAAGCUGGAAACUUAUAGCAUUCUCUCAGCUUUUAGUGCUCUGAGUAAUAUUCACAAAAACACUUCCUGGUGUGAAAUACUGCACCCACAGGAUCAUUUUUGGUUUUUUGGGAACCUAACUUUGUCUAUGAGUGCUACAAUACUCAAAAAAGCUUAAAAAAACCCUCAAACUACUACUGUUUUAACAAUUUAGUCCCCAAAUCAUCACAUAUCUCUUAAAGUUUGCAAAAUGAUAUUUCAUUCCAAGUUAUUUCAGAGCUGUACAAAGGGAUAAAAGAUCCAACAUUUCAAAAGGAUGUUGACAUCAGGGUGUCUGUUGGAGUCAAACUGAUAUUUAGUUCAACAAAUACCACUGUGUACUGUAGCAAAAAAAUAUAAGCAAAGGAUAAAGCACAUUCUGUGGUUGCCAUAGGUGAUUAAGUGCCUACUCACAAUAGGGGGGAAAAAGACACAAGUUUCUAUCCUCAAUAAGCUUAUAUUCUACUGAUAAUAAUAAAUGACACAUAAUUUGUUCCUCUUGACAACACUAAGAGGCAUGAGAACCAUAAUUAUUAUCCUCAGUUUACAGAUAAAGAAACUGAAGCCAAAAGGGAUUAAAAGUCUUAUUCAAAAGUUAUACACCUACUAAGUAUUUGAAGUGAGAUUCAAAGCCAGAUCUUAGUUAAGUCUGAGGCUCUGAAACAAAAUGAUUCAGGAAAAUCGUUUUAAGAGCACUGAAAAAAAUUAAAACAAUUAAAUCAAUGAAGAAUCAGAAAGUACACCAGAUUCAGCCCUAGUUGAGAAACAGAAGAAAGUGAGUCACUUUUUUAGCCUUGACAGCAUAGGGAAACAGACAGAAGGCUUCAGGUACUGAGGACUGUAUUAGUGGCCUGUUCCUAGAGGUGUUGGACAGAGGUAAGGACCAAGGCAAGGAAUGACUCUAGAGCUGAAACUGUAUACACUAGCCAGGAUCAGGAAAAAAGGUGAAUAAUAGCUACUUGGUUCUAACAAAAGGAGGAGGAAAAGCCUGUAGCUGAAUAACUAAUGCCCAGAGCCCAAAACAAGAGAGUGCCAACAGUUCUGUGGGUCUGGACCUGCAAAGCCUGUGAGCCAGCUAGCUAGUAAUAGGCAAAGAGAUUUGUCCAGCAUCACACAACUGGAAGUAUGAGAGACCAGAUUUGAACUCACGUAUUCUUCACUCUAUGCCCAGUG
Molecule: non-coding RNA, 1481 nt
Organism: Monodelphis domestica (gray short-tailed opossum)
Lineage: Eukaryota; Metazoa; Chordata; Mammalia; Didelphimorphia; Didelphidae
Source: RefSeq, a predicted model, not a curated record